ACGGAAGGCAGCAGUGGGGAAUAUUGCACAAUGGGCGAAAGCCUGAUGCAGCGACGCCGCGUGAGUGAAGAAGUAUCUCGGUAUGUAAAGCUCUAUCAGCAGGGAAGAAAAUGACGGUACCUGACUAAGAAGCCCCGGCUAACUACGUGCCAGCAGCCGCGGUAAUACGUAGGGGGCAAGCGUUAUCCGGAUUUACUGGGUGUAAAGGGAGCGUAGACGGUUUGGCAAGUCUGAAGUGAAAUGCGGGGGCUCAACUCCUGAACUGCUUUGGAAACUGUCGAACUAGAGUGCAGGAGAGGUAAGUGGAAUUCCUAGCGUAGCGGUGAAAUGCGUAGAUAUUAGGAGGAACACCAGUGGCGAAGGCGGCUUACUGGACUGUAACUGACGUUGAGGCUCGAAAGCGUGGGGAGCAAACAGGAUUAGAUACCCUGGUA
RNAcentral lists this ribosomal RNA (434 nucleotides) under uncultured Lachnospiraceae bacterium. RNAcentral describes it as "partial 16S ribosomal RNA". It matches the Rfam family "Bacterial small subunit ribosomal RNA", at positions 341 to 792 of the family's 1533-position model. The record is from RNAcentral. Lineage: Bacteria; Bacillati; Bacillota; Clostridia; Lachnospirales; Lachnospiraceae.